This 235-nucleotide ribosomal RNA is filed under the name uncultured bacterium. Its description in RNAcentral is "partial 16S ribosomal RNA". It matches the Rfam family "Bacterial small subunit ribosomal RNA", at positions 118 to 351 of the family's 1533-position model. The record is from RNAcentral.
UGAGCAAUCUGCCCUUCUCUUCGGAAUAAGCGUUGGAAACGACGUUUAAUGCCGAAUACGACCUCCUUUCGCAUGAUCGGAGGUGGAAAGCUCCGGCGGAGAAGGAUGAGCUCGCGGCCUAUCAGCUAGUUGGUGUGGGUAACGCCCACCAAGGCGACGACGGGUAGCCGGCCUGAGAGGGUGACCGGCCACACUGGGACUGAGAUACCGGCCCAGACCUCCGUACGGGAGGCAG